CCUACGGGUGGCAGCAGUGGGGAAUAUUGGACAAUGGGCGAAAGCCUGAUCCAGCCAUGCCGCGUGUGUGAAGAAGGCCUUCGGGUUGUAAAGCACUUUCAGUGGGGAAGAAAGCCUUGGGGCUAAUACCCUCGAGGAAGGACAUCACCCACAGAAGAAGCACCGGCUAACUCCGUGCCAGCAGCCGCGGUAAUACGGAGGGUGCGAGCGUUAAUCGGAAUUACUGGGCGUAAAGCGCGCGUAGGCGGUCUGAUAAGCCGGUUGUGAAAGCCCCGGGCUCAACCUGGGAACGGCAUCCGGAACUGUCAGGCUAGAGUGCAGGAGAGGAAGGUAGAAUUCCCGGUGUAGCGGUGAAAUGCGUAGAGAUCGAGAGGAAUACCAGUGGCGAAGGCGGCCUUCUGGACUGACACUGACGCUGAGGUGCGAAAGCGUGGGUAGCAAACAGGAUUAGAUACCCUAGUAGUC
This 465-nucleotide ribosomal RNA is filed under the name Vreelandella stevensii. RNAcentral describes it as "partial 16S ribosomal RNA". It matches the Rfam family "Bacterial small subunit ribosomal RNA", at positions 338 to 795 of the family's 1533-position model. Lineage: Bacteria; Pseudomonadati; Pseudomonadota; Gammaproteobacteria; Oceanospirillales; Halomonadaceae. The record is from RNAcentral.